Molecule: ribosomal RNA, 468 nt
Filed under: uncultured bacterium
Lineage: Bacteria
Description: partial 16S ribosomal RNA
Rfam family: Bacterial small subunit ribosomal RNA
Source: RNAcentral
GACGAACGCUGGCGGCGUGCUUAACACAUGCAAGUCGAACGGAAAGGCCCUGCUUUUGUGGGGUGCUCGAGUGGCGAACGGGUGAGUAACACGUGAGUAACCUGCCCUUUACUUUGGGAUAACUUCAGGAAACUGGGGCUAAUACCGGAUAUGAGCUCCUGCUGCAUGGUGGGGGUUGGAAAGUUUCGGCGGUUGGGGAUGGACUCGCGGCUUAUCAGCUUGUUGGUUGAGUAUUGGCUUACCAAGGCUUUGACGGGUAGCCGGCCUGUGAGGGUGAACGGCCAAAUUGGGACUGAGAUACGGCGCAGACUGCUACGGGAGGCAGCAGUGGGGAAUAUUGCACAAUGGGCGGAAGCGUGAUGCAGAAACGCGGCGUGCGGGAUGACGGCCUUCGGGUUGUAAACCGCUUUCGCCUGUGACGAAGCGGGAGUGACGGUAAUGGGUAAAGAAGCACCGGCUAACUACGUG